GAUGAACGCUGGCGGCGUGCCUAAUACAUGCAAGUCGAGCGAACGGACGAGAAGCUUGCUUUUCUGAUGUUAGCGGCGGACGGGUGAGUACCACGUGGAUAGCCUACCUAUAAGACUGGGAUAACUUCGGGAAACCGGAGCUAAUACCGGAUAAUAUUUUGGACAGCAUGGUUCCAGAGUGAAAGACGGUCUUGCUGUCACUUAUAGAUGGAACCGCGCUGCAUUAGCUAGUUGGUAAGGUACGGCAUACCCAGGAAACGAUGCAUAGCCGCCCUGAGAGGGUGAUCGGCCAGACGGGAACUGAGACACGGUCCAGACUCCUACGGUAGGCAGCAGUAGGGAAUCUUCCGCGAUGGGCGAAAGCCUGACGGAGCAACGCCGCGUGAGUGAUGAAGGUCUUAGGAUGGUAAAACGCUGUUAUUAGGGAAGAACAUAUGUGUAAUUAACUGGGAACAUCUUGACGGUACCUAAUCAGAAAGCCACGGCUAACUACGUG
RNAcentral lists this ribosomal RNA (496 nucleotides) under uncultured bacterium. Its description in RNAcentral is "partial 16S ribosomal RNA". It matches the Rfam family "Bacterial small subunit ribosomal RNA", at positions 28 to 507 of the family's 1533-position model. The record is from RNAcentral.